UCAGAGGAGAAGGAGGGAGGGGUGCAAACCCUAACCCUCAAGAAACCAUCAAAUUGGGAAGAAAUCUCGAGGAAGAUCGGAUGCAUGAACCUGAAAUGCUGACCAUUUAAGUGUCUCUAACACAAGGAAUCAUGUCAAGACGGAAUCAAGCACGGAAGGCUAACGGGUCAAGAACUGGCGAGGAAACGGAUAUGAACACGGAUGCAUGAGGAGUGAGAACGUCAGAUUCUUGUAGAAUUGAAGCCGAACUUUGAAGCUGAACUCAGAACAAGGGAAUCCGAGAGGAUAGUCGAAUGAAUCAAAGUUUAUGUUGUCAAAUUUUAUAUGAUUUUUAAUUGGAUGAGAUUAUUGUUGUAUGAUGAUUGUCAAUGACUAAUGAUUAAGUUGUAUGUGAUGUCCACAGGUACUACACGGAUUUCUUCUACCACUAUCGAAGAUAAGCGGGCAUAGAUCGAGUCGAAUAGCAAGGAUUGUACGGAAAGAACAGUCACGUAGUUUGAAUUAUGUAUUGCUUUGAAACGUUAAUUCAAUGUGAAUAUUGUAAUCCCUUCUAGGAAAUGUUUAAAUUUUGUAUUUGAGCCUUUAUGUAAGUAAUGUGUCUAACAUAGAAAGAAAUAUUAAGGCUCGUAUUUCCGC
Helianthus annuus (common sunflower) is the source of this 636-nucleotide long non-coding RNA. RefSeq lists it as uncharacterized. The transcript is spliced from 3 exons. The record is from RefSeq and is a predicted model, not a curated record. NCBI's taxonomy places the organism in Eukaryota, Viridiplantae, Streptophyta, Magnoliopsida, Asterales, Asteraceae.